UACGGAGGGUGCAAGCGUUGUUCGGAAUUAUUGGGCGUAAAGCGCGCGCAGGCGGCUGGAUAAGUCCAGGGGUGAAAUGCCGGGGCUCAACUCCGUGCGUGCCCCGGAUACUGUCUGGCUGGAGACACGUAGAGGCAAGCGGAAUUUCGGGUGUAGCGGUGGAAUGCGUUGAUAUUAUGGGGAACACCAAAAGCGAAGGCAGCAGACUGGAGCACUCCUGACACUGAAACAUGAAAGCGUGGGUAGCGAAUGGG
RNAcentral lists this ribosomal RNA (254 nucleotides) under uncultured bacterium. Its description in RNAcentral is "partial 16S ribosomal RNA". It matches the Rfam family "Bacterial small subunit ribosomal RNA", at positions 524 to 776 of the family's 1533-position model. The record is from RNAcentral.